This 465-nucleotide ribosomal RNA is filed under the name uncultured Klebsiella sp. Its description in RNAcentral is "bacterial SSU rRNA". It matches the Rfam family "Bacterial small subunit ribosomal RNA", at positions 338 to 795 of the family's 1533-position model. The record is from RNAcentral. Lineage: Bacteria; Pseudomonadati; Pseudomonadota; Gammaproteobacteria; Enterobacterales; Enterobacteriaceae.
CCUACGGGGGGCUGCAGUGGGGAAUAUUGCACAAUGGGCGCAAGCCCGAUGCAGCCAUGCCGCGUGUGUGAAGAAGGCCUUCGGGUUGUAAAGCACUUUCAGCGGGGAGGAAGGCGUUAAGGUUAAUAACCUUGUCGAUUGACAUUACCCGCAGAAGAAGCACCGGCUAACUCCGUGCCAGCAGCCGCGGUAAUACGGAGGGUGCAAGCGUUAAUCGGAAUUACUGGGCGUAAAGCGCACGCAGGCGGUCUGUCAAGUCGGAUGUGAAAUCCCCGGGCUCAACCUGGGAACUGCAUUCGAAACUGGCAGGCUAGAGUCUUGUAGAGGGGGGUAGAAUUCCAGGUGUAGCGGUGAAAUGCGUAGAGAUCUGGAGGAAUACCGGUGGCGAAGGCGGCCCCCUGGACAAAGACUGACGCUCAGGUGCGAAAGCGUGGGGAGCAAACAGGAUUAGAUACCCUUGUAGUC